AUGGCGGAGCUCGACCUGCAGAAGUUGAUGGCGGAGGCUACGCAGCAGCGGAGCAGCAUCACCACCACGCUCCUUGCGAUCCAGAAGUCACUCGACAAGAUGCAGCCGAUGAUCACCAAGAGGGAGCCGAUGCUGGCGUCCCUCGAGCCGGCUGUCAACGAGCUCCCUGCCCGGCGUCCCAGGGGGGACACGGCGGUGGGCAAGCUGCAGGCGGACGGCGAUAUUCUAGGGCUCCUCGCCAAGAUCGCCACCAGAUUGUUCCCUUCAGGCAGCUCCUCCACCAUGGUGUCCUCAAGGUGUUCGACAGAGUGCCUUAUCCACGCUGAUGACUGGGUGCAGCCUAUGUCCGCCAACAACAAGGAAUCCAACAUCACCCCUGUUGUAGCAGUCGAAAACAACACUGUGGACCCCAUUGCUCCUGUGCCCACCGUGGGUUCGAGGAGCAGCCCUGCAGCCAUUACAACGGUUAUACCUACAACGAGUGAUGCCGAGGAUGUGCGUGAAGUCGUCCUCCCUGCAGCAAGUGUCUACUCCACCACAGCGCACGACACCUGCUCAACCUCGGCGGCCAUGAUGGAGAUGGACUCAGCAACCGUGCUCAAGCUCCUGCCCACUUUGGAGUAUCCUUGCGACACAAGCCCAUCAUCAGUCGUGACAGUCAGGAUCCUAUCUUCGGAUGUUACAGGUUAUGACUUCUUGACAUUGCCAUGGGAUCCUGGACAACGAGCAAUUGAUUUAACUCCAUUAAUCCAUGCUGAAGGCUAUGAUGCAAACAAGGCCAAAUGUGUGCCCACUGUUCAAGUGCUCGGAUGGGACCUGAUUAGUGGUUUCCAUCAUGAGAAGCCAUGGGAUCCUUGGACUUCCUUGUUGACCGCGCCAUCUCACAUUACAUACAUGAUAGGUUCUAUGUAG
RNAcentral lists this ribosomal RNA (912 nucleotides) under Triticum aestivum (bread wheat). RNAcentral's name for it is "partial small subunit ribosomal RNA". The record is from RNAcentral. Lineage: Eukaryota; Viridiplantae; Streptophyta; Magnoliopsida; Poales; Poaceae.